Molecule: small nuclear RNA, 172 nt
Organism: Brienomyrus brachyistius
Lineage: Eukaryota; Metazoa; Chordata; Actinopteri; Osteoglossiformes; Mormyridae
Product: U1 spliceosomal RNA
Exons: 1
Source: RefSeq, a predicted model, not a curated record
CUAUUUUCCUGGCAGGGGAGAUACCACGAUCAUGAAGGUGGUGCACUCAGGGUGAGGCCCAGCCAUUGCACCGCGGCUGUACUGACUCCCGCGCAUUUCCCAAAUAUCAGAAUCUAGACUAAUCUAGACUGCAUAAUUUCUGGUUGUAGGGGACUGUGUUCAUCUGCUUUUU